GAGGGAGUCCCUCCCUCUAAAAGCACUCUGUGUGGGGAACAUGAGAGCCAGACCAAAGCUCAGAGGAACCAGCCUGGACCUCCACCCAGCUCUGUGUCCUUACAGAGUGACCGGUCUACUGGUCGCUUCAUUAAUUUUAAAGUCCAGCCUGUGUCUGCUGCAGAGAGAGUGGACCAGCAGAGCUCAGAGGUUCCCAGUGCUCAGUCUGCCCAGCAGCAUCAAACACAGCUGGACUCCAUAUUUAUGGUCUGUACAUGAACAACAACUACUGUUACAUCUGUUCUGUCCACAGUCAUCUCCAUGCUGCUCUUUGUAGACCAGUGUCAGUGUGUCCA
Oreochromis aureus is the source of this 335-nucleotide long non-coding RNA. RefSeq lists it as uncharacterized. Lineage: Eukaryota; Metazoa; Chordata; Actinopteri; Cichliformes; Cichlidae. The record is from RefSeq and is a predicted model, not a curated record. The transcript is spliced from 3 exons.